Molecule: long non-coding RNA, 420 nt
Organism: Harpia harpyja (harpy eagle)
Lineage: Eukaryota; Metazoa; Chordata; Aves; Accipitriformes; Accipitridae
Exons: 3
Source: RefSeq, a predicted model, not a curated record
UCAGGUCUGUGGACUCCUUGGGACUCAUGGGCUGCUGCUGAAGAGUCUGCAAAAGGUAAUUAAGAAGAGUAAAUCUAUUGUCAGUCAACUUCAAUUUGCUAUAUAAGGACCACUGCAGAUCUACUGGAGAAUGCUUAAGACUCUUCAAAUUGAUACAAGUUUUCAGAUCUGCUCUGCUCACCAAAAGACACGGGAGAGAAGAGUGCUCUACAGUGAAGCCAGGCUGCUGCUCAUGAUCUUAAUUCUGGGUCUGAAACUUCCUGUCUAGUUUUGUGAGCCUCGAAGCAGUGAAAAGAGCUGCAGGAUUCACAUAGCGAGGUGUCAAGGAGACGGAGCCCUCAGAGAACCAAGCUUCAAGCAGAAGCACAGUAGCUCCCUACGAAUGUGCAGGCCAGGGGCGUAUCAAGAUCGGUGCUCAGC